GCACUGGACGAGUAAAAAGCCCCCAGUAACUCUUGGACUGUCAGCUCUGGUCAAGUAGUCUGGAAAUUUCAAAGAGCCCUGGGGUCAAAAGUUAAGUUGUCUCCAAUGUGUGGUAGCCUGGGUGACACUUGGCUCCGACCUGACAGAGGAGAGAGGUCCUCCCCGCUCCGUCACUCACUGUUCUGAGGUCAGCGCAAGAGGGAACAGACGGCACUAACCUUAGAACAACAAGAAUAUUCACAGAUACGUUUGCUUCUUUUUUUAUAUGUAUAUAGUGUUUCAUAGUCAGUUUAUAUAGCACCGGUAAAGAGUAAGAGUAUUAGAUGAGGUUUGCAUAAAAAAGCUAAGAGAAGAGAUGAGCGAGAGAGAGAGAUGAAUAAGAGUGACAAGACCAGAUGCAGAAGAUACCUGACUCCAGCAGACAAAGACAAGUAGGUGGCCACACCUUGAAGUUCCAUUACUAUAGUUUGUUGCUAUCUCCUAACCAGCAUUCUUGUCUUAGUGUAUCUGUUCCUGAGUCACACACCCACGGAUAAUGAGAAGAAGAAAGAGAAAUGUCUGUGAUGUGUUGUUGAACACUCCCAGGACAUCUCUGCCAGGCCGUGUUAAGAGUUCGUCAUCACCAUGGGAACAGCUGGCCCCCUGGAUGAGAUCCUGUGCCAUUGUGUUCUCUUAUCGUGGUUGGCCCCAUAAGCUCAUUGGAAAAAAAACACAGUUUACAAAAUCUGGUCCCACUUGUUUCCCUGCCAUUCAUUAGAAAUUAAACACAGAAGUUUUUUUUCUCUCUCUCUCUUUCUCUCUGUCUUUUUGUGAACAGUCUUUUUCUCUUUUUUGUCCUUUCUUCAAGCAUGGAGAACGAGGCAUGCCUCUCUCUCUCUCUCUCUCCCUCUCUCUCCCUCUCUCUCUCUCUCUCCCCUCUCUCUCUCUCUCUCCCUCUAAGAAAGCAUGACGUGGAGAGAGCGAGCUGAGUGCCAGGUAACUGGAGAGGCUGGCCUUUUGGUCCUGAUUAUCUGAAUGCUCUCCUCUUCUACCCGAUCAGGGCCACUUCAUCCCCUCCUCCUCCUCCUCCUCCCCCACCCAC
Clupea harengus (Atlantic herring) is the source of this 1081-nucleotide long non-coding RNA. Lineage: Eukaryota; Metazoa; Chordata; Actinopteri; Clupeiformes; Clupeidae. The record is from Ensembl.